RNAcentral lists this ribosomal RNA (494 nucleotides) under uncultured bacterium. Its description in RNAcentral is "partial 16S ribosomal RNA". It matches the Rfam family "Bacterial small subunit ribosomal RNA", at positions 28 to 507 of the family's 1533-position model. The record is from RNAcentral.
GACGAACGCUGGCGGCGUGCUUAACACAUGCAAGUCGAACGGUGAAGCGCCUUCCUUUUUGGUGGGUGUGGAUGAGUGGCGAACGGGUGAGUAACACGUGAGUAACCUGCCCCCUUCUUCUGGAUAACCGCAUGAAAGUGUGGCUAAUACGGGAUAUUCUGGGUCUGUCGCAUGAUGGGUCUGGGAAAGAUAUUGUUUCGGUGGGGGAUGGGCUCGCGGCCUAUCAGCUUGUUGGUGGGGUGAUGGCCUACCAAUGCGGUGACGGGUAGCCGGCCUGAGAGGGUGGACGGUCACACUGGGACUGAGGCACGGCCCAGACUCCUACGGGAGGCAGCAGUGGGGAAUAUUGCACAAUGGGCGCAAGCCUGAUGCAGCGACGCCGCGUGAGGGAUGGAGGCCUUCGGGUUGUGAACCUCUUUCGCCAGUGAAGCAGGCCUGCCUCGUUUGUGGGUGGGUUGACGGUAGCUGGAGAAGAAGCGCCGGCUAACUACGUG